Molecule: long non-coding RNA, 1159 nt
Filed under: Sorghum bicolor (sorghum)
Lineage: Eukaryota; Viridiplantae; Streptophyta; Magnoliopsida; Poales; Poaceae
Description: long non-coding RNA (SBIC_LNC012508)
Source: RNAcentral
UUGAAAAUUAGAAAUAUUACAUGUAUUUUCUAUAAAUUGAGUCAAAGUGGUUUCCACAAAAAACGUAAUGACAAAAAUUUAGGGCAGAGAAAAGACCACAAGGGACCCCAUGUGGCUUAGUACUCUCUCCAUCACAAAUUAACAUCAUAAAUUAACUGUUGUUUUUUCCAUACAAAAUGUUUGACUCGAUUUAUAAAAGAUACAUAUAAUAUUUGUAUCUUUAAAUUAAUUUGUUAAAAAACUAGAUUAAAAUAUCUUUCCAAUAAUGCUUAUAUAAUAUAAAUAUUAAUAUUUUAUAAUGUAUAUUUUAAUCAAAUUUAUUUCUUAGGAAGCAUAAACAAUAAUUAUUUUGGAACGGAAUACAUCUACCCCUACAUUCAACACACUCACCACGCACAACAGCCCGCAGUGGCUCUGUCGCGCCAAGAUCUAUGGCAUGUGGCGCGACAAAUCCUACCACGUUAGCCAUGCACGACCGGUCACACGACACGUCAGCGGCUUUGCCGUGCCAUCAUGCAUAGCGUGGCAGAGUGCAAGAGUCGCACUGUGUAUGGUGACGUGGCCAAAAGGUUAGAUUUAAAAAAAUAAUUUUAGGUGUCAAAUUUAAAAUAGUUUUUAAAAAGGCUAAAAAUAAAAAAAAAAUCCCCCGGCUUGGGCCCUCUCCCUUAUCACUUAUUUGGAUUGUUAUCCAUGGCGAUCUCAUUAAGAAAUUUUGCUUUCAACCAUGAGUGUCUCAUCUAAUUAAUACUCUCUUUGUUCCUCAAUAAUUAAAUUCUGGGAGUUAUCUUAAGUAAAUAUUUUUUAUGGCUGAUGACCGAUUUUAUAGUGAAUAAGGAUUAUUUAUGUAUGUUUUUAGGGAAUAACGAUAUUUUUUAUGUCAGACGUGCAUGCAGAGUUAGGACAGAGGUAGCUGAGAAUUGUACUAUGUGGUUUUGAGCGUGUCAUCCACACUAAGAGAGAAUGUAAAAAUGUCGCCAUGAGCUCGCACAGCUAGCCAAGAGGACAAGACACUCAACUGUUCAUCAUUUUAGUUCGCCAAUUGCUUAGGAUUGUAACUCUGUUUCCGAGUCUCUUCUUGGAAAAGAAAAUUUAACCCUAGAGCAAUUUUGAUGCUUCGGCGGGGGCAAGGGCCGUUGAAGGGAACCUCUGAACCAAAUGC